Molecule: small nuclear RNA, 104 nt
Organism: Pongo pygmaeus (Bornean orangutan)
Lineage: Eukaryota; Metazoa; Chordata; Mammalia; Primates; Hominidae
Source: RefSeq, a predicted model, not a curated record
GUGCUUGCUUCAGCAGCACAUAUACUAAAAUUGGAAUGCUGCAGAGAUUAGCAUGGCCCCUGCAUGAGGAUGACAUGCAAAUUUGUGAAGCAUUCCAUUUUUAA